GCUGCGAAUGCAGGUGGAACUACAGCCUGUCACGCUCGUGGUCGCGGGUUCGAUUCCCGCCGGCGCCCUUCGGGUGCCGUAGCUCAGUGGAUAGAGCACGAUUGUUUCACCAUCCCUUGUCGCAGCGGG
RNAcentral lists this Y RNA (129 nucleotides) under Oryza sativa Indica Group (long-grained rice). RNAcentral's name for it is "Y RNA-like". It matches the Rfam family "Y RNA-like". From Rfam's summary of the family: In Deinococcus radiodurans Rsr is tethered via Y RNA to the exoribonuclease PNPase and channels single-stranded RNA into the PNPase cavity. Rsr and Y RNA enhance degradation of structured RNAs by PNPase. The record is from Rfam by way of RNAcentral. Lineage: Eukaryota; Viridiplantae; Streptophyta; Magnoliopsida; Poales; Poaceae.